AAGGGAAGCUUGGCGGCUUGGUGAUGAAGUGUUGCCCUCCCAGGUGAGAGUCACCAGAAUCAGCCAGCAGAAGGACAGGGCACACAUAAUGUAUAUCCACCUACGCAAACACACUCUGACUGAUUGAGGUGCCUCCCACCCCUCCAGCAAGACUCUUACACAAAGGCCAGCUUCUCAUCUUCCUCAUCUCGCCUGUCUCACAGUUUCAAGCUCCAUUUCAAACCUGCUUCAUCAAGCAUUCGAUGAAGGUGGAUUGGCCAGAGGGGGAGCUCGGUUUACCACCUGUUGGGGCAGUUCCUGUUACUUAACAAAGUGCGGAUGACAAUGGGGUUGAUGGUGAGUUCAUUUAUUCCAUUGUGAUUCUUUUUUUUUUUUAUGGAUGACAAAUGGAAAUCUUUGUCGAAGAGCAUUUGCAUGAUGAUGCAAUCAGAUUCCUGAACACAAUUGCAAUUUUAAAAAACUUUUAAGACUUUUUUUUUUCUACUGACCUUCUUUGUGCAGUCCCCCCCCCCCCAAAAACAUUUGUCUCAUGUGAUGUGCAUGUCAAAGUUAAACUCCUUUUGACCUAGUUAUUGGGCAACCUUUAAAACUAAAAUAUUGGUUUAAGCCACCGAAGCUUGCUAAUGGCAGUGACUUUUAAAAUAAAUAACCUGCAUCAUUGUUACACUUUAACAUCCAACUAAACAUUUACAGAAUCAGGUUUUGUGCUAAUUUUACUUCUGAAACCCUGAGAGGAGAACCCCUAAGGUUGAACAAAGUCCAUUGGGGGAAACGCUGGUAUUGAUUUUCCAGUUCCAGGGUCAGAUGCACGCACGUCGUUCCUGUUACUUUUCCUCUCCGUUGCAAUCAGUUCCUUUGCCGUAGCUGCCAUCAUGUUGAUCUUUAUUUUCACUUGCAACAACAACGUAACAGAUUGCACUCGUAGGGUCUCAACCCGAGGUUUUGGUGCAAUUUUAAGGGUGUUUUAGUUUUCUCAAAAUGAUGGUCCACCCAUAAAUGGCAGAAGUUCCACCGUAUAAUCUUCCAGCCUAAACGCGUACGCAAACAAACUGAUGAACAGAGGAUACAAACGGCAUUUGUGCAAUGGACACAUUUCCCUUUGACAAUGUGAAGCAGAUCUCUGCGGAGUCAUACGCAACGGUCCACGUGAAGAAUGGAUAUCAUUGAUCCCCCCUCGGGAGCGGGCUUUUUGACGUCAUUCACCAAAGAGAUUUUAGUGGGGUAAUCUCUCAUCAUUUAAGUCAGAUGGAUUCAGCAGAAAUCAUAUCAGCGCCCCCCCCCCCC
Molecule: long non-coding RNA, 1284 nt
Organism: Hippocampus comes (tiger tail seahorse)
Lineage: Eukaryota; Metazoa; Chordata; Actinopteri; Syngnathiformes; Syngnathidae
Exons: 3
Source: RefSeq, a predicted model, not a curated record